Molecule: non-coding RNA, 46 nt
Organism: Lepisosteus oculatus (spotted gar)
Lineage: Eukaryota; Metazoa; Chordata; Actinopteri; Semionotiformes; Lepisosteidae
Source: Rfam
GAAAAGGCUUUAUUUAAAGCCAGAGCAUUAUUAUACAAACAUAUAC